This 406-nucleotide unclassified non-coding RNA is filed under the name soil metagenome. Its description in RNAcentral is "partial contains 5.8S ribosomal RNA, internal transcribed spacer 2, and large subunit ribosomal RNA". The stretch from base 1 to 121 matches the Rfam family "5.8S ribosomal RNA", at positions 35 to 154 of the family's 154-position model. The record is from RNAcentral.
GAUGAAGAACGUAGCGAAAUGCGAUAAGUAAUGUGAAUUGCAGAAUUCAGUGAAUCAUCGAAUCUUUGAACGCACCUUGCGCCCUUUGGCCAUUCCAAAGGGCAUGCCUGUUUGAGUAUCAUGAACACCUCAACUCUUCAUGGUUUUCCGUGAUGAGCUUGGACUUUGGGGGUCUUGCUGGCCUAUGGUCAGCUCCUCUAAAAUAAAUCAGCUUGCCAGUGUUUGGUGGGUAUCACAGGUGUGAUAACUAUCUACGCUUGUGGUUUUCCACCAGGUAACCUUCAGCAGUGGAGGUUCGCUGGAGCUCACAGAUGUGUCUCUCCUCAGUGAGGACAGCUCUUUGAAUGUUUGAUCUCAAAUCAGGUAGGACUACCCGCUGAACUUAAGCAUAUCAAUAAGCGGAGGA